GGAGUUAGCCGGUGCUUCUUCUGUGAGUGAUGUCCUUCCUGCCGGCUAUUAACCCGCAGGCCUUCUUCCUCACUGAAAGUGCUUUACAACCCGAAGGCCUUCUUCACACACGCGGCAUGGCUGGAUCAGGGUUGCCCCCAUUGUCCAAUAUUCCCCACUGCUGCCUCCCGUAGGAGUCUGGGCCGUGUCUCAGUCCCAGUGUGGCUGAUCAUCCUCUCAGACCAGCUACGGAUCGUCGCCUUGGUUAGCCGUUACCUCACCAACCAGCUAAUCCGACAUAGGCUCAUCCGAUAGCGCGAGGCCCGAAGGUCCCCCGCUUUCCCCCGUAGGGCGUAUGCGGUAUUAGCCUGGGUUUCCCCAGGUUAUCCCCCACUACCGGGCAGAUUCCUAUGCAUUACUCACCCGUCCGCCGCUCGCCACCAGGGAGCAAGCUCCCCGUGCUGCCGCUCGACUUGCAUGUGUUAGGCCUGCCGCCAGCGUUCAAUCUGAGCCAGAAAUCGAACCCUGA
This 508-nucleotide ribosomal RNA is filed under the name uncultured bacterium. RNAcentral describes it as "partial 16S ribosomal RNA". The record is from RNAcentral.